GCCUCGCUAGCUCAGUCAGGUAGAGCAUGAGACUCUUAAUCUCAGGGUCAUUGGUUCGAGCCCCACGUUAGGCG
This is a non-coding RNA of Danio rerio (zebrafish), 74 nucleotides long. The record is from Rfam. Lineage: Eukaryota; Metazoa; Chordata; Actinopteri; Cypriniformes; Danionidae.